This 716-nucleotide ribosomal RNA is filed under the name Natronococcus sp. Its description in RNAcentral is "bacterial SSU rRNA". It matches the Rfam family "Archaeal small subunit ribosomal RNA", at positions 115 to 830 of the family's 1478-position model. Lineage: Archaea; Methanobacteriati; Methanobacteriota; Halobacteria; Halobacteriales; Natrialbaceae. The record is from RNAcentral.
UCUGGAGCGCGACAACUCGGGAAACUGAGGUAAUCGUGCAUACCGCUCUCACGCUGGAAGUUGCGGAGAGCUUGAAAUGUCCCGGCGCCAGAGGAUGUGGCUGCGGCCGAUUAGGUAGACGGUGGGGUAACGGCCCACCGUGCCAGUAAUCGGUACGGGUUGUGAGAGCAAGAGCCCGGAGACGGUAUCUGAGACAAGAUACCGGGCCCUACGGGGCGCAGCAGGCGCGAAACCUUUACACUGCACGCCAGUGCGAUAAGGGGACUCCAAGUGCGAGGGCAUAGAGCCCUCGCUUUUCUGUACCGUAAGGUGGUACAAGAAUAAGUGCUGGGCAAGACCGGUGCCAGCCGCCGCGGUAAUACCGGCAGCACGAGUGAUGGCCGCUCUUAUUGGGCCUAAAGCGUCCGUAGCUGGCCGCGCAAGUCCAUCGGGAAAUCCGCACGCCUAACGUGCGGGCGUCCGGUGGAAACUGCGUGGCUUGGGACCGGAAGAUCCAGAGGGUACGUCCGGGGUAGGAGUGAAAUCCUGUAAUCCUGGACGGACCACCGGUGGCGAAAGCGCUCUGGAAAGACGGAUCCGACGGUGAGGGACGAAAGCUCGGGUCACGAACCGGAUUAGAUACCCGGGUAGUCCGAGCUGUAAACGAUGUCUGCUAGGUGUGCCACAGGCUACGAGCCUGUGGUGUGCCGUAGGGAAGCCGUGAAGCAGACCGCCUG